This 445-nucleotide ribosomal RNA is filed under the name Escherichia coli. RNAcentral's name for it is "bacterial SSU rRNA". It matches the Rfam family "Bacterial small subunit ribosomal RNA", at positions 1 to 442 of the family's 1533-position model. Lineage: Bacteria; Pseudomonadati; Pseudomonadota; Gammaproteobacteria; Enterobacterales; Enterobacteriaceae. The record is from RNAcentral.
AAAUUGAAGAGUUUGAUCAUGGCUCAGAUUGAACGCUGGCGGCAGGCCUAACACAUGCAAGUCGAACGGUAACAGAAAGCAGCUUGCUGCUUUGCUGACGAGUGGCGGACGGGUGAGUAAUGUCUGGGAAACUGCCUGAUGGAGGGGGAUAACUACUGGAAACGGUAGCUAAUACCGCAUAACGUCGCAAGACCAAAGAGGGGGACCUUCGGGCCUCUUGCCAUCGGAUGUGCCCAGAUGGGAUUAGCUUGUUGGUGGGGUAACGGCUCACCAAGGCGACGAUCUCUAGCUGGUCUGAGAGGAUGACCAGCCACACUGGAACUGAGACACGGUCCAGACUCCUACGGGAGGCAGCAGUGGGGAAUAUUGCACAAUGGGCGCAAGCCUGAUGCAGCCAUGCCGCGUGUAUGAAGAAGGCCUUCGGGUUGUAAAGUACUUUCAGCGG